ACUGCCUAGCAUGGGAAUCAGGUGGCCCUGCUGCUCGAAUUGUAGUCAAUAGAAGAGUCCUCAGCUACGGAUUGGGCACAAGUCCUCAGGAAGGGGGCACUAGAGAGGGUGAGAGCCCCGUCAUGCACGGACCCUGCCACGCCAUGAGGAGCUGUCGGCAAGUCGGGUUGUUUGGAAAUACAACCCUAAUUGGGCGGUAAAUUCCGUCCAAGGCUAAAUAUCAACGAGAGAUCGAUAGCGAACAAGUUCA
Molecule: non-coding RNA, 250 nt
Filed under: Amborella trichopoda
Lineage: Eukaryota; Viridiplantae; Streptophyta; Magnoliopsida; Amborellales; Amborellaceae
Description: rRNA LSU_rRNA_eukarya
Rfam family: Eukaryotic large subunit ribosomal RNA
Source: Rfam by way of RNAcentral